RNAcentral lists this ribosomal RNA (497 nucleotides) under uncultured bacterium. RNAcentral's name for it is "partial 16S ribosomal RNA". It matches the Rfam family "Bacterial small subunit ribosomal RNA", at positions 28 to 507 of the family's 1533-position model. The record is from RNAcentral.
GAUGAACGCUGGCGGCGUGCCUAAUACAUGCAAGUCGAGCGAACAGACGAGGAGCUUGCUCCUCUGACGUUAGCGGCGGACGGGUGUGUAACACGUGGAUAACCUACCUAUAAGACUGGGAUAACUUCGGGAAACCGGAGCUAAUACCGGAUAAUAUAUUGAACCGCAUGGUUCAAUAGUGAAAGACGGUUUUGCUGUCACUUAUAGAUGUAUCCGCGCCGCAUUAGCUAGUUGGUAAGGUAACGGCUUACCAAGGCAACGAUGCGUAGCCGACCUGAGAGGGUGAUCGGCCACACUGGAACUGAGACACGGUCCAGACUCCUACGGGAGGCAGCAGUAGGGAAUCUUCCGCAAUGGGCGAAAGCCUGACGGAGCAACGCCGCGUGAGUGAUGAAGGUCUUCGGAUCGUAAAACUCUGUUAUUAGGGAAGAACAAAUGUGUAAGUAACUAUGCACGUCUUGACGGUACCUAAUCAGAAAGCCACGGCUAACUACGUG